GACGAACGCUGGCGGCGUGCUUAACACAUGCAAGUGGAGCGACGAACCGGGGCUUGCCCCGGGGCAGAGCCGCGAACGGGUGAGUAACACGUGGGUAACCCACCUCGAUGACCGGGACAACCCGAGGAAACUCGGGCUAAUACCGGAUGUGAUCCUCUUCCGCAAGGAAGUUGAUGAAAGAUAGCUUCGGCCUUCGCAUCGAGACGGGCCCGCGGCCCAUUAGCUUGUUGGUGGGGUAACGGCCUACCAAGGCUCGAUGGGUAGCUGGUCUGAGAGGACGAUCAGCCACACUGGGACUGAGACACGGCCCAGACUCCUACGGGAGGCAGCAGUGGGGAAUCUUGCGCAAUGCGCGAAAGCGUGACGCAGCAACGCCGCGUGGGGAAGACGG
Molecule: ribosomal RNA, 391 nt
Filed under: uncultured bacterium
Lineage: Bacteria
Description: bacterial SSU rRNA
Rfam family: Bacterial small subunit ribosomal RNA
Source: RNAcentral